AGUGAACGCUGGCGGUAGGCCUAACACAUGCAAGUCGAACGGCAGCACAGUAAGAGCUUGCUCUUACGGGUGGCGAGUGGCGGACGGGUGAGGAAUACAUCGGAAUCUACUUUUUCGUGGGGGAUAACGUAGGGAAACUUACGCUAAUACCGCAUACGACUUACGGGUGAAAGCAGGGGAUCUUCGGACCUUGCGCGAUUGAAUGAGCCGAUGUCGGAUUAGCUAGUUGGCGGGGUAAAGGCCCACCAAGGCGACGAUCCGUAGCUGGUCUGAGAGGAUGAUCAGCCACCCUGGAACUGAGACACGGUCCAGACUCCUACGGGAGGCAGCAGUGGGGAAUAUUGGACAAUGGGCGCAAGCCUGAUCCAGCCAUACCGCGUGGGUGAAGAAGGCCUUCGGGUUGUAAAGCCCUUUUGUUGGGAAAGAAAAGCAGCAGGUUAAUACCCCGCUGUUCUGACGGUACCCAAAGAAUAAGCACCGGCUAACUUCGUG
Molecule: ribosomal RNA, 492 nt
Filed under: uncultured bacterium
Lineage: Bacteria
Description: partial 16S ribosomal RNA
Rfam family: Bacterial small subunit ribosomal RNA
Source: RNAcentral